This 4575-nucleotide long non-coding RNA is filed under the name Medicago truncatula (barrel medic). RNAcentral's name for it is "long non-coding RNA (MTRU_LNC008186)". Lineage: Eukaryota; Viridiplantae; Streptophyta; Magnoliopsida; Fabales; Fabaceae. The record is from RNAcentral.
GGUAGUCUAUAACAAAUGUUUAUAUCAUCAAAGGAUUGUGAAUAGAGGAGAUUUGUGAUUGUAAAUAGUUUUGUUUCUCGUAAAAUAUCAAAUGUGUGAAUGCUCCUCUAUUCCAAGGCCACUUUGAUUCAAAUACUCAUACAAAUGACAUUUCUUUUGUAAUUCGGCCCCAUGAGUCAUGACACUUUGUUUAUUGCAUUGGUAACUAUUGAUUUGCCGCAUGUAUUCCUUUUAACACCUGACUUGUUGCAUGUAUUUUCCAUGAGUCAUACACUUAGUUUAUUGUAUGGAUAACACUAGAUUGCUAAUGUAUUCCUCUUGACACUUGGAUUCUUGCAUGUAUUCCUCAUUAAUAUGACACUUGGUUAUUGCAUGGGUAACACUUGACUUGUUGCAUGCAAUCAUCUUGAUACUUGGCUUGUUGCAUGUAUUCCUCAUGAAUCAUGACAUUUGGUUUAUUUCCUGGGUAACACUUGGCUUGAUGCAUGUAUUCCUCUUGACACUUGACUUGUUUGUAUGUAUUCCUCAUGAGUCAUGUCACUUGGUUCAUGAGGAAUACAUGCAACAAACCAAGUGUAAAGAUGAAUGCAUGCAACAAGACAAGUGUAACCCAUGCAAUAAACCAAGUGUCAUGACAUGGUCUUUCGUUUUGCUGAAGGACAAAGAAAAAUAAAAUUAUCAUUUUAACAUUUUCACUACAAGAAACAUUACCUUUUGCCAGGGGCAAAAUCCCUGUCAAAAGGACAUAAUCCCUGGGAAACGCGACAUUUGUGAGGGAAAAAGCCAGGGGCAGAUGGCCUCGCAAAAGCAGUCAUCGCAAACACUUUGCCAAGGGCUACACCCCUGACAAAAAAACGAGGGGCUGAACCCCUAGUAUAUCGCCAGGCUUUACCCCUGGCAGAACCCCUGGCAUGUUCCCUCACUUUCGUCUGCAGCUUUCCUGCACCUCUGACUACGAUUGACCUCUGACUGCGGCGGCUUUGACUGAAGUGACUGAAGGAAAGCAAGUCAGAACAGCAAAAAACCAGGGACAUGCGAGGGGUUUAACCCCUGGCAAACAUCCUUAUUUUUUUUUUUAAAUAUUAUAUUUAUCGAAAAGUAUUUAUUAUUAAUUAAUAAAAUAUAUUUAAAUUAAUUUAAAAAUCGAUUUUUUUUAAAAUUGUUUUUGUAAUACAAUUAAAUGGUUAAAAAGCAAUUUAAUUAAAAAAUAUAUAUUUAAAAAAAAUUAAAAAUAUUUUUAAAACACAAUUAAAUGCAUAUAAAUAAAGUUUAAUCACACAAACACUAAUAAGUCUAAUUAAUAGGCAUGAAAUAGAAAGUGUACUUAAUAAUAUUACAAACCGUGCAGGAAAAUAAAUAUUGUGCCGAGAAGCAUGGAAAACCUCCCAAAGUCAUACAAACCAUAACAUAAUAGUAAAGAAAACACACAACCAUGACAGAUUUAGUUUAACAAACAAUUUAACUUUUAAAACAAUAUUCCCUAAUUAUUUUAUCUUAAAACAGUACCGAAAUGGACACUUGCCUAAAAUUAAUUAAACUAGUCCUAUUUUCUUUCGUAUUUUUCUUUAAAACAAUUAAAGUUUAUUAUUAAAAAAAAAAACAGAAUACAUAUAAGCAAUUAUUGUUUGACCAUAUUUUUUUUAACAUUCUACUACAACAUGCAUAUAUUUCAUUUUAUCACAAAAAAAAAACAGCAUGCAAAUAUUUCAUUUCAUCACAAUAAAUUAAAACAACAUGCAUAUAUAUUUCAUUUGAUCACAAAAAAAAAAAACAUGCAUAUGUAUAAUUCAUUUUAUCACAACAAAAACAUGCAUUUCAUUUCAUCACAAAAAAAAAAAAAAUGGAUAUAUUUUGAAAAUUACCAACAUUCAUGCAUAAUAAUAUUAAAAAACGAAAAUAAAAUUAUCAUGAUAUUAUUUUUUUUUCCAGAUUUUCGAAAAAAAAAAUACUUUAUCAAACAAUCAGCAUAUUUUACAUACAACACAUCAUCAACAUGUAUAUCAGUUAUAGUAUUAUGAGGAAAAAAUAUCACUAACUUGUUGAAGCUUUACAAUAGAAGAUCUGCAAUGCAAUCCAAAAACAGCAAGAGUUGCAGCAAUAGCUAACAACAGGAGGCGGAUAAAUAAAACAGCUGCAAAUAACAUACAAAAUAAAUAACAUUAAUAAGUAGUAAAAUUUAACAUCAUGAUAAAACAUAUAACAAAUGAAUAAUUUUUUUACCAAAUAAUAGAAGUUUGAUGAAUGUUUUGUAUGAAGGUGUUGUGUUUUAAGAGAAGAAAAAUUUCUAAGGGUUCUAUGAAAGUUAAAACCGGUGCUUCUCUUAUAUAGGGAAGGGAAAAAACCAGGGCCUUUCCCAGGGACACGUCCGUCGGAUAUAUGGUCAAAUCCUAGCUUACGUAGGCGCAGAAGUAGGUGCAGAACGGGUUGGAAAAACCGACGGAAUUGAGCAAUAACCGAGGGGUUACGCCCCUGGCAGGCCUGCGUCGGACAGCUUUUGGCAGGCCCUUGUCAACUCAACUGGAACAAAGCAGGGAAUCCCUUGAAUUUCGGAAACCGAGGGGCAGUUCCCUGGCUUUUUCCGUCGGUUUUCUCUGACAUAGCAGAGAUUCCCUUAGAUUUUCAAAAUUCAAACUGGCGCCUAAAAUAAAGCCAGGGAUUUUGACAAAAAGCGAGGGGCAAAUCCCUGUCUUUUGUGCCACCAGUUUUCCUUGGUAUUUUCCCUGACAAAUUUGCCAGGGGUAUCAAACCCUUGUCAAAAUCCCUGGCAAAAGGUCAUUAUUCUUGUAGUGUUUGAGAUGCUAGAGUUUUGGUGCCAAUGAACAAAACAAUGUAAAAUUGUAGGACUUUCUUAGGAUUUUAUGGCAUAACUUUCUUUCUUUUAUAUAAUUAAGAUUAAGAGAUAAGAUAUAAAUCUAUGUCAAACAAUGGUCAAUGAAGCUUUGAUGCCAUAUGUAACACCACUUCACUUCAUAUCAAUUUGAUGUCGAAUGUCUGAAUGUCUGAAGUUAGUUUGCAUAUGUCAUUUUCUCAAAUUCAAAUAAAUUAAAGGUGGAUUUUCUCACCCUAAAAUCAAGGACUAAAAUGAAUAUUAUAAGAACAAAAUUUGAUAUGAAGCUAUAUCUGAGGGACAUCUAAAACAAAAAUCAAGGACCAAAAUUACAAUUAUGGUAUUUUUGCAAGGACUAAAAUUUUUUAUGGGGAUUGAAAGUAAAAAAUGGUAUAUUUAAGGAAUUAAAAUCAAAUUUAAACCUUUUAUUUAAUACUUAUUUGUUUAACCUUUUAAAAGGAAGAUAAAUUUUGUAACUAUUGUACAACCAAUCGCUCAAAACAUUUAUUUUGUACGUAAAACUCUAAUUGCGGAUGUCCUUUAGAUUAUAAUUCAAGCAGAUAAAUAGAAUUCUUUUUUCAAGGAAAAUAAAUAGAUUUUUUUUUUAACAAAAAAAUGAAUAGAAUUCUUAUUUACUAUAAUAACUAAUUAGCUAGCUAGAACCUAUAAAUAGGUUUAUUUUAAAUGCAUGCUUUUAUUUUCAUUAAUUAGUCAUCUUCAGAUUUAAACAAAUACAUGAAAAAUAUGACUAAAAUUGUGUAUUUUAAGUUUAACCACAUACCUUAUCAAUCCUAUCGUCAGGUCUCGACCAUUCUUCAACAUCUAAAUUGUCAGUCCAUUCAUCGUGAACGUUCUUGGACAUCCCAAUUGCAAAUCCAUUCAAGUGAAAGUGUUUUUGGGUGUCUAGGCUUCCUUGAAGAAGUAGUACGCGGACUAACAAUCUAAAUCCAUAUUUGGUUAGAAAUCUAUCAGUAAAAUAAUAAAAAUAUAUUGAUAAAAUAUUGAUAAGUAUAAAAAGGUCAUGAUUACAACCUUUUAAAAAAAAAUACAAAAUCAUGUCAUCAUUUAUGUGCACAUUUUUACUCAUAUUUAAUCAAAGAAAUCACAGUUGUUGAAAAUUAUUAUAAAAAAUAUAAAACAUAGCACAACAAAUAAGAAGUAGAAAUAUAAGACUUCGUUGAUGAUUUUCGUUCAAUCACAAUUGUGAUGAUACUCCAUUAAGUUUUGAUUCGAUGCUCAUAGAUCUAGUAGAGAAAAACAACAUAAGAUCAAUAAGAGAAAAUAAACUAAAAAAUAAAAGGCUUAAUUGCACUUUUCCCCCCUAUCUUUUGCUAAUUGUGCGAUUUUGCACCCCCUCUUUUUUUUUGAGCAAUUUUGCACCUCAUCUUUUUGCCCCCUUUAUGAUUUUGCACCCCAUCUUUGUGUUCAAUUGCACUUUUGCCCCUUAUCUUUUUGCUAAUUGUGCGAUUUUGCACCUUCUCUUCUUUUUUUUUGAGCGAUUUUGCACCCUAUCUUUAGCCCCUUUUCCUCUCUUUUAAUGAUGAUUUUGAACAAAACACAAUUGACAAAAGAUGGAGUGCAAAAUCGCUCAAAAAAAAAGAGGGGGUGCAAAAUCGCACAAUUAGCAAAAGAUAGGGGGGAAAAGUGCAAUUAAGCCAAAAUAAAAAACAUUAGUGAAAGAAAUAAUUUAUAACAUGAAAUUUGUCGUAUAUAUAAGAGAUAACAACCUGGGUUGAAUAAAUUCGCAA